CGAGGCAAUGAGAACACCCUGGCAGGGCAGCUGAGCUGGGUGGAUCCUUGUUCUGUCACCAAGCCUUUAAGUCAUAUGCUGACAUGUUACAGUCCUGCCUGGGACCCUGCCCACAAAUACUUAAGAUACACGACUUUGGGAAUCACCCAACUGAUGGAAAGAACCAGGAAAGGGGUCAGGAUCUGCACCUUGGCAAACUUUGAAGAACACCCAAUUUGAUGAAUGAAAACUCCUCACUUGUGCUCUGGUGGUGUUUUAGGACAAUGGGCCCCUCCUGGAUGCUCCAGUGAAGCCCCAUAUCACCUUUUUCCUUCCUGUUUGCCAUAGCUCCAGGUGUAGGGACAGAUCAGAAGAUUCUGGAAAAGGCAGAUCACCAAAGAACUCAAGAUGUACUGAUAUUUUGCCAGUUUCCUUCAUCAACAAGGAUGGUAGAAAAUAGCAGCAAGUAAGGACUACAGAUUUCACCCAGAGGCAGAGCCUUGGAAAUAAGCAACUAGGCUGGCUGAGUUCCAGUUCAAGAGCAAUCAGAAAGGUUGUACCUGCCUACAAGAUUAUCAACACCAUGUGAGAACAUCCACUUUGCU
Molecule: long non-coding RNA, 584 nt
Filed under: Homo sapiens (human)
Lineage: Eukaryota; Metazoa; Chordata; Mammalia; Primates; Hominidae
Description: HSALNT0022462
Source: RNAcentral